Xenia sp. Carnegie-2017 is the source of this 116-nucleotide long non-coding RNA. RefSeq lists it as uncharacterized. The transcript has 2 exons. NCBI's taxonomy places the organism in Eukaryota, Metazoa, Cnidaria, Anthozoa, Malacalcyonacea, Xeniidae. The record is from RefSeq and is a predicted model, not a curated record.
AGUGAAGAACAACAAGUCAAAAAAGGAAAGAAGAAGAAAAAGAAAGGCGGAGAUACAGAAUUAGCUGAAUCUUUUGAAAUUAAAGAUGAAGUAAAAGAAAAUAAAUCAAAGAAAAU